GCCCGGAGCGGGAUGGAGCGGGGCCGGUGUGCGUUUUAGCUGAAAGCCCAGGUUUUUUCUUGAAUGGAAUUUGAGGAGGCGCAGAGAGGAGAAAAACGCUGUUACUCGAAAGAGGAAGAGUCACAGGAGGAUGCUGAGUGAACGCAGCGCCCAGGCAGGGUCAUCUGGGGACCUGGUGCGUGUGAGAACAUAUUUCUUCUCCUGGCGCCCUCCAGGCUCACUGUGGCUGGAGCCGGUGACCUGAAGCUGCAGGGCUCUGGGAUCGAAUCCUGAUAAAGUGGGAGAUUACUACAGUACUUCCAAUGGAACCACAGUUAAUUCACCAUCAUUAUUUCAAAGCAGA
Molecule: long non-coding RNA, 343 nt
Filed under: Homo sapiens (human)
Lineage: Eukaryota; Metazoa; Chordata; Mammalia; Primates; Hominidae
Description: HSALNT0043405
Source: RNAcentral